CCUACGGGAGGCAGCAGUGAGGAAUAUUGGUCAAUGGACGAGAGUCUGAACCAGCCAAGUAGCGUGAAGGAUGACUGCCCUAUGGGUUGUAAACUUCUUUUAUAUGGGAAUAAAAUGUUCCACGUGUGGGUUUUUGUAUGUACCAUAUGAAUAAGGAUCGGCUAACUCCGUGCCAGCAGCCGCGGUAAUACGGAGGAUCCGAGCGUUAUCCGGAUUUAUUGGGUUUAAAGGGAGCGUAGGUGGAUUGUUAAGUCAGUUGUGAAAGUUUGCGGCUCAACCGUAAAAUUGCAGUUGAGACUGGCAGUCUUGAGUACAGUAGAGGUAGGCGGAAUUCGUGGUGUAGCGGUGAAAUGCUUAGAUAUCACGAAGAACUCCGAUUGCGAAGGCAGCUCACUGGACUGCAACUGACACUGAGGCUCGAAAGUGUGGGUAUCAAACAGGAUUAGAUACCCCUGUAGUC
RNAcentral lists this ribosomal RNA (460 nucleotides) under uncultured bacterium. RNAcentral describes it as "partial 16S ribosomal RNA". It matches the Rfam family "Bacterial small subunit ribosomal RNA", at positions 338 to 795 of the family's 1533-position model. The record is from RNAcentral.